CCUUCCACGAGCUCCUGCUUAGCAGUCUCUACCAGCUGAACCCCAGAAUCCUCUGUAGUUUGCUCGUCUACUCGCAUCAACACAAUACAUACAUAGUAUAGCAAAAAUUAACAUUACACCAAACAUAUAAAUAAAAUACACAGUAAUAAUCUAGACAUUAAAAUAAGAUCAUAGAAACUGGAAUCAUUAAAUUUGGAGUUAUAGAUUUUAAGUUAUGGAUUUUCUAAUGUUUUAUGUGCUUAAUACAAGAUUAUGUGAUAGAUAAAUUUUAAAUUGACGUUUAUGCCAAAACAGAGGCACUAAUGGUUAGACAAUAAUAUUAUAAGAAUUUAGGAACUGUAAUGGGUCAAUUUGGAGUUCGUAUGCAUUUUCUAUGAAUUAAACAAGUUUCUAGAUUUAUUUUUGCAUUAAAAAUCGAUUUCUAAUAUUAAUUUCCUAUUUUCAGCUCUCUCUGGAUUGGGCGCCAUUUUCUGUAAAACACAGGGGCGCCAAUGUAAAAACCCCGAGGCACAGAGAACAGUGCCCCGGGACGGCGGGUUGUUUUAAGGAUCUUAGAAGGGCUCUUUAGUAAAAAUGCUACCACGAAGGGGUACGCUGCACUACGGGCCGUUGGAUUCAAAUCUGAAGGCCGAGAUUAGAUCGUGUUUUAAAUGAAAGGGGUUUGUAACCGUGAUCCUCGGAUCUUAGAUCAACGGCCAGCACACCCCACAACACCCAACCAUCGGUUUCGAGAUCUGCGGCUACAAUUCACUAGAACGAAAGGGUAUGGGUGGUUCUAAUCUCCACCGCUCGCUGGCAAUCCGACGGCGCGCGUACACUCUUCCACCUCCGACGACCAGGGGAGGUGGAGCAGAGGCCCGCGGGGGCUCUCCACCAGCGCGCGGCGAUUCCGGCUAACCCGACCUCCAUCUCCAAAUUCCUUCGUUCCUCGCCCAAUCGACGAUGUUACAAACUCACCCUCCCUACCAAUUUCUACUGUCGUCGAGCACAGGGCUCAGUCCACAGCGCGCUAUACUUUUACAGUGGCGCCACCGCAACGCGCAGGUGGCCGGCCCUGCCAUCCAACGGCGAGCUCGCCGCCGUGACGGAAAAGGACCCAAGCAGCACCCAGCUCACGCCUAGCCAAAACUGUGGCAGAACCUCCCAAGUUAUUGGGCCCACAUGCACCUGUCCUUAUCUCAAAGACCUCAGACUACUAUGCAUGUGCACCAGAUAACUUAACAGGAUCCGUCUGAUUGCCCCAAGGACAUCGGAUAAACCACGAACAACCAGAACCGUGGGAUUAAGUAACACAAAUCACACACACCAAUAUUGUUGCAGCGGAAAUCUUACUACCAAAUUUUACAGGUUACAAAAAUUUUACAUUAGUUUAUCGGAGUGAUUACAAAAGUAUAAGUUUGAAAUAUAUGCUAGCUCAAGGGGUCAUCCUCAAUAAGAAGAUAAAGACGGGGUAUACUUAUAUAAGAAGGCCGAGCCCACCGGCACUUAACACCAUCACAACAGCACAAGGUUAGAACCUGAAAAACAACAGGGAAUAAAACCCUGAGUAUGGAAUUACUCAGCAAGUCUUACCCGACUAAGGAAAAGACUCUCAAGGGUAUGCUGGAUAAAUAGGAGUCAAGGAGAGGCUUUAGCAAAAAUCAACUUAUACUUUUGCAGAAGUAGCUUACUAAAGUGAGUCCUUACUUUCAAUCUUUUAACGCCAUAUUAAGUAUUAAUAGACUCUAUUUGCAUCUAGUCUAAUUUCAACAUCUCAUCAAUACAACAUCAUUUUUAUCCAUAGUGUUCACAUCCUGACUUUAGGUUGUAGAAAAGUGACCAAGUCUUCAUAACCGCGAAGGUACGGCGAUCCGAAUCGAUUAUACUCAGCUGAGGAUCUCCAAUCACACGACAUAUGUAGCACUUAACCCUUGCAUAUGUCAACCCGCCACCGGGGUUCUUAAGACCAGAUUAGGUUCACGCAAACCGAGAGCACAGAUACACCACCGUCCAGCCUCUUGCCACGGAGGGUACACGCUACUCUCGCCACCGCUCCACGCCCAUUUCGUGUUAUCUUAUUCUGGCCUUAGUCUGCCCGAGGCAAGGCUUACCCAUGACGAGGCAUGUGACCAGUUAAAGGGUCCUCGGUCAGCACGCCUACAUACGCAUUAAUCCUUAACCAACCUGGGUAGAACAUCACCUGUUCCUAACCCAAGUUUCAAUUUAAGUAUUUCCAUCCUUAGGAUUGUGUCUUUUCGUUAGGAUGAAAGAGCAUCACAGGGAACUUUGCAGUAAGAUCCCACUAUUGCUCCAAAUGAAAAUAUUCUUGCAGGUAGAAGCCAUCCUCUCCCGGGUUAGACUGAGGACAACCUCUAUCCACUAGAUCUAAGCAAGGCUAAGCAUUUUUGUAAAUCAUAAUUUUGAUACUUCACAGAAGUAUCUAUAAAGGUAUGGAUAUCAAGGAAAGCAAUGCAUCAAAGGGUUCCAAGCAACUCCUAUGAACCUAAUGCACAUUUCACUAGACUUAAAGUGUGCAAAAAGUAUUUAAAACACAAGGAAAGGUGUUGCAUGCACCGGGGCUUGCCUGAGUAACACUAGGUUAGUGUUGUUAGGUGAUGUCCGCUUGACGAGGAUUCUUCGACCGAGCACUUGCUUGAUUUAACCAUCUUCAGGUUGGUCCAUCAGCUUCAUCAGGCGGAGUAGCCCGCGCUUGGGGUCGACUUGGGUCUUCUUCUGCAUCACACGAUUAUUUAUCGUACCUGAAUGGAAUGCAUUAUGCACAUGAAUGCAUAUCAACGGAAAUAUUACAAACCUAAAUAGUGUUACGCGAUAGCGGAUUUAAACACCUAGCGGCGAGGCGUUGUACAAUUUUAUACAGAAACACUAGUUAUCGAUAUAUUGUUACCUACGACAAUCAUGCUCUUCUAACCUAGCUAAACAGUCGAGGUAGCAAUCAACAUCCAUUCCAAGCAUGAAAUCGAUCAACACAUAAAAUACCAUACCUAGUCUAGAGAACACAUUAAACGACUUAUAGUUUUAACUUCAAAAUUCUUGGGCACCUAACACUUAUAAAAUUUGAUAGAAGAACUUUCAUUAACUUUCUAAACUAAUUUACCGAUUAACUUGUGUAUCAAAUAUAUAUUAAUAACUUUCCAUUUUUAACACAUACAAUCCCGCAAACCCUAAGACUUAUUGAGAUCUUUUUCAUUACUAACUCCAUCGUACUUCACAUAUAUAUAAUCCUACCGCGAUGCGACUGCUUCCAAAUUAUAAAAAUAAACACAUCACAUUCAUUGAACUACUUCAAUAAUUAAGCUAACGGAAAUUUUGAAUCGGCUUACCAUUCUAAAUUUGACGCGCUAACAACGAACACGACAAGGAUUCUGGUACAGCUCUUGUGUCGAGCAUUUGGGGAAUACCACGCUGCUAGCUUCGUCUUCAUCCGAUUCUUGGGAUUCCUUGAUGACGCACGAAAUGAUGACGACCUUCGAUCGAAGUCUUCGACUGAGCACUUGAUAAGCGAUGCACAGGGACCUCGCUUAUUUUUCUCUAAAGUCCGGGCUUCGGGGUUCGAUGAGAUCAAGCAGGGAAGAACGAGGUUCGACGGGCUCAACGACGAUACGAAGCUACCACUAGUGACGAUACUACGAUGGCGACAUGGGCGAGCGCGACAAGGAAACGGCAAGGCUGAGCUGCGCGCGGCAAGGAGACUCGACUAGGGAGGGAAAUCCGAGCUGGAGGAACAAGGAGUAGGGGACUGGAAUCGAGCGCAAGCGAGCAAGCGACGACGCGAUUUCUGGAAUUCGACGACGAGGCAUGCCAGCGCGAGGGAGACGGAAUCCGAGCGCGGCGCGCAGGCACGAGCGAGCAGAACAGGCAGCUGGGGCUCGGCCGGCGAGUCAAGAGCUGCACGACUGGAUGUUGCUGCCAGCAAGAAGGGAAAGAGUUUCCCCGGCGAGCAGCGAGGGACGCCGAGCAGAGGGCGCUCCGGCCAAGAAGAAACAGGGCGCUGUCGAGGAGAGGCUCCGCGAGCUAGAGGAGCAAGGGAGGUAGGAAGAUGAGCAGCGCGGUCGGCCGAGAGGAACAGGCGCGCGCCACCAUGGGAGCUUGACGACGACCGGGCUGGGCGAGCCCCGGCGAACUGCAGAUGGCCGGCUGGGAGAAGGCGCGCAGGAACUGUGCGCGCAGGUAAGGAGAAUACAGAGGGAGCAGGGGUGGAAGCCGGCCACCAUGGCUGGGAGCCUGGGACAUGUACAAACGGCUCACAAGCAAGUAGAAGACCGGAGAAGGGCCUGUACGUGAUAUUAUCCCAGGAGAAGAAGCCGAGUGCGAGCCAGCAGAUGGAAGAACGAGCGCUUGUAAGAUAAAUCCGAUCACCGGAUGAGACUGAGAAGAGAGAGAUAAGAACACGGAACAAAAAUCUCACGCAGCAGAUAAAAAAAAAUCCCAGGAGGAUAAGCAGAGGCGUGGCUGGGAUUUUUUUCUCCAGAGACAGAGCGGUGUGUGCUGGAGAGAAGCUCGGCUUGGGCAUGAGCAUUCGACACUGAGGAGAUAAGAACGGUGGAAAAAAUAUCCACAAGUAGAUAGGACCGCAGAAAGAAAAAGAAAAGGCUAGAAAUCUGGUGGUCGACGUGAGCAAGGGAAAGUGAAAUUUCCUUCUCAUUUUCUAAAUAAAUCCACACAGAUAAACACAGUUUCAUGAUUUAGUGUUUAAAAGACGUAAAAAUUGUUCAAACCAAGAUAAGAUCGAUGACAGUAUUUGAACACUGUUCGACCUAGUGAAUAUUCUCAGCGUCAGAUAACUACUACCCGUUAUUUAUAUUUGAAGGUUUAGAUCGAGAAGAGAAACACACGGACUGAACCAGACUGAUUUCGGCUUUGAUAAUUUCAAUUUACGACUGAUUUCGUUGAAGUCAAACCGAUUAGCAAUUAUUUGAGUUCGGCUCUAAUUAUCUUGAUCCGAUUUAGUUUCGCAUCACUUCUAUCGUCGAGUUCCAGUUAAUUGGUUUGGGAUAAAAAUCGAAGGACUGGACUGAAUUCCCAAAUUCGUAUUUGCUCGAGCGAUGAAUUUUAAAUACUCACCGGACGCACCGAUUUUCAGAACAAAUAUGUUCCGAACAGCACGAGAAUUUAGGACGGGCCCGAAUAGAUGGAAAUAAAAACGAUAGCAAAAAUAAUUAGACCUUAGUGUUCAUCUUAUUCACUGAUAUCACGUGCUUAAAUCCAUACUCGAUGUCGAGCGGAAUAUAAACACCUGGGGUGUUACAGCCCUCCCCCCUUAAAAGAAUCUCGUCCCGAGAUUCGGAGCGAAAGACUUUCAAGAGUAGAGAAGCAUGUAACCCACGUCCAUAUCAGCAGUAAUCAUAAGGCAAUUCUGAGCGAAGACAAGUGUCUCAGGAUGUGGUUUCUCUAGUGGACAUAACAUAUAUCGCCUUAGGCUAAUUUAGAGAUGUCCAACAAUAGAGACAAUGCCUGCCAGAAGAACACAUAAGGUUCCAUGUGUGCAGUUCGCUUUUUCUGAUGACACUGUACUAUCUGAGUCUGUUGAGCAAGUGGCAGAUACACGAUUUUACCCAAACAGAAUCAGAUGCAACCAUCUUGGGUAAAACACAUAGAAAGAGGUUUACCAACAAGUGGUCAUGGUAAGUUCAUAAUACAUGAGACGAGUGUGGAUGUUGAAUAACAUCACAGUUAACUCGUGUUAGCCAGAGAAUCCAAGUCCAAGAAAAUGAUAGAGACUCGAAAAAAAUAUCAAUGGAAAGAUUCGUUGAUGUUGUCUUCGCAACCAUACCAUUUUAUCAAGCACUAGGCAUGGCUCGACAUGAUCACACACGCUGGAAAAGUACACGUGAGGCGAUCGAGGCAUGACUAGAGCGAUAAUUAGGCAGUUACUGGCCGACUUAAUCUUAAUUCUUGUAAGUACUUCCUUAGGAUGGGUUGACCCAAAGUGAGUUCAGACAACUCGAUAAAGCGAUCUCUAAACUCAACCUUUGAUCACAAGGCGGUUACAAGUUAGUAAAACCAACUUGUUGAACUACUUUUCGACAUUGAGCAAGUCCUCUCAGUACCAUCGGUAAGCCAACGGUCGAGAGCUCACAUUUGCUAGCAAAAGGUCAUGCAUUUGGGUAGAAAUCCAUUUGGUCAUGUUGUUCAUCCAUUUCUUCAUGCGAGAUGAAUUAUCCACUUGGUUAGGGAAUACAUGGAUUAAAUAAGGGAGCGAAUGAACAAACUCCUGCAUCUCAACAGCAGGGAAAAAUCAAUCUUCAUUUUGAGAGCUAAUCAGUUGUCUCUCGACACUAAAAAGCUCCAAGGUUUCACCUUUACACAAAGGAUGUAAAGGGAACUUGUAUAAGUAGUCACUACCAAGAUCCAAAGAAAAGAGACCACACAUGGAAAGUGGUAUGCCCUUUUGAUCGAACAGAGAUGAUAGAUGUUGCUUGAUCAUUUGACAAACAACAAAGAAAUUAUUUCAAGGGAAGGUCGACGGAAGAUAACACAUCAGUGUAAUUCCAUAAUGGAUCAUGACUAGAGACCUCGAUACCAGCAUACGCCAAGCAGCAUAACCUUGCGUGUACAUUCACAAGGGGCUCUCAGUUUCGCUGCGGCACCAUAAGUCAUUACCCAUGACACCACCACCGAACUAGCACCAAUAAUGAAUCUCACGUGGUAAAACUAGAUUGUGCCAAGAUAACACAUUGAUAUAGUCUCAUAAUGGAUUACAACUACUAACCGUGAUACCAGCGCGUGCCGAGCAGCACGACCAUGUGUGUACAUUCACAGGAGGCCCUCGGUUUCGUCACGGCACCAUCGGUUUUAGUCAUAACACCAUUACUAGACGUAACCAAUAAGAAAUCUCGUGCCACACUAAUAGGUUGAGCAAGGGUGACAAUAUACAAAGAGACUCUACCUGUCAAAACGGUUACAAGUAGAGAGCCAAAUAGAUCAUGGCCCAAUGAAAUGAACAGGGCAUGGCCAUAACCUAAACUUGAUUGAUGAAUGAGUACGAUGGGAGACUGUUAAUUCAGUCCCAAGCAUAUUUCUAUGCCCAUCGCAGAGAUCACAAGGUCAAGGAUUAGUAUUUGAUCAAAUACGGAGGGGAAACAAUCAUAAGAUCAAGUUGGUAUGCCUUUGAUAGAUAUGAGGAAACCAAAGGAAUCAAAUUAAUGAAGAUGAUCAGGCAUGACUUUCCUAGGUUGGGUUGAUAAAGUGACAAGAUAAUUCAACAUGGCGAUCCUUAAGAACAGGCGAACUGGUUAAGGUACAUCAGCUUGCACCAAUAAACAAGGGAAUGGUUUUAGAAGGAAACAUGACUCGAGAUUCUUGUUUAAGCCUAGGCACAAUUUAUGUCCAACAAAAAAAUUAUCUACGCAUUUAUUUGUAUGGGCUUUGUCAUGGAGUGAUAAUGGACCAUUCAAAUUUGAGGCAUGGUUCACUAAAUAAGAACAUGGCCUAAUUUUUGGUUUAAACAAACAGGUCACAACCUUCUAUCGGCACAUCCAGUACAAGGGAAAACACAUAUGACACCUAAAUAGAUUAUCUAAAGAACGGAGGACAGCUAUUUUAUCGAAGUCCAUAAUACCGCAUUACACUACAUUAUCUACAAUCAAUGGUUGCUGGAAUAAAGAUGAGAGAAGCAUUUUGGGUGUAUAGGUGACAAACAUGAUGCAACAAUCAGGAUGCAUGCUCGUCCUAUUCGUCCUCACUGAUUUUGCCAACACCCUGUGGCAAUAACGUUCUAUGUCGGUGGCAUACGUUCUCUCACGGUAUUUUUCUAGUCGUCAGCUACACAUACGUUUUCGAGGUUAGUGUACCUGCAUAAAAUCCAUCACAGCCCAAUUCCCAAUGAUGCAAGUCACACAUGACAGUUUAUCACAGUUUAUACUCCAUAUAUUGCUAUAUGGAGGCCAGCUCAUCAUUAAGCGCCGAGCCACGCAUAGGCGUCGUUGCCACACUUUAACCAUAGGGCAACUCAUUAUGGUAACUCACCUUCUUACCAGAGCAUAGGUGCGUCGUUACAAGUACAAUACACUUCUCAGUAUUCCCAUGUCUGUAUACCCAUACACAUCCAUGGGGUACUGAAUUCCCGGAAAAGUAAUUACUCCACAUCGCAGCCUUCAUAUAUACAUAUGUGGAACAUGUAUAUAAUCAAGCGCUACAAUCAAGCACUCCCCUAGACCGACGUUUGUUCGGUCAUGCUCUCACAUCUCACCUUACUUGAGCGUCGAUCCAUUCAGAACUGAAUGGCCUCAAAAAUAACAAUACACAUGUAUGCAAUACCCCCGGUUGUGGGUUAGUAGUUUUGAACUAAGCCACCUGAUAGUCCUUAACUUAGGGCUUAAUAGAGGAUGUCGCUAGCAUUAUAGUUUUUUUAAAACUAUUUUUCAAAACCAAACAAUGUGUUUAGAUGAAAAUAGGUUUUCAAAACCAAAACUUUUGUUCUGAAAAUACGUAUGUGACCGUAUAUACUUAAUCCAGCUCCGAUACCAGCUGUGGCAGAACCUCCCAAGUUAUUGGGCCCACAUGCACUUGUCCUUGUCUCAAAGACCUCAGACUGCUAUGCAUGUGCACCAGAUAACUUAACAGGAUUCGUCUGAUUGCCCCAAGGACAUCAGAUAAACCACGAACAACCAGAACCGUGGGAUUAAGUAACACAAAUCACACACACCAAUAUUGUUGCAGCGGAAAUCUUACUACCAAAUUUUACAGGUUACAAAAAUUUUACAUUAGUUUAUCGGAGUGAUUACAAAAGUAUAAGUUUGAAAUAUAUGCUAGCUCAAGGGGUCAUCCUCAAUAAGAAGAUAAAGACGGGGUAUACUUAUAUAAGAAGGCCGAGCCCACCGGCACUUAACACCAUCACAACAGCACAAGGUUAGAACCUGAAAAACAACAGGGAAUAAAACCCUGAGUAUGGAAUUACUCAGCAAGUCUUACCCGACUAAGGAAAAGACUCUCAAGGGUAUGCUGGAUAAAUAGGAGUCAAGGAGAGGCUUUAGCAAAAAUCAACUUAUACUUUUGCAGAAGUAGCUUACUAAAGUGAGUCCUUACUUUCAAUCUUUUAACGCCAUAUUAAGUAUUAAUAGACUCUAUUUGCAUCUAGUCUAAUUUCAACAUCUCAUCAAUACAACAUCAUACAUAGUGUUCACAUCCUGACUUUAGGUUGUAGAAAAGUGACCAAGUCUUCAUAACCGCGAAGGUACGGCGAUCCGAAUCGAUUAUACUCAGCUGAGGAUCUCCAAUCACACGACAUAUGUAGCACUUAACCCUUGCAUAUGUCAACCCGCCACCGGGGUUCUUAAGACCAGAUCAGGUUCAGGCAAACCGAGAGCACAUAUACACCACCGUCCAGCCUCUUGCCACGGAGGGUACACGCUACUCUCGCCACCGCUCCACGCCCAUUUCGUGUUAUCUUAUUCUGGCCUUAGUCUGCCCGAGGCAAGGCUUACCCAUGACGAGGCAUGUGACCAGUUAAAGGGUCCUCGGUCAGCACGCCUACAUACGCAUUAAUCCUUAACCAACUUGGGUAGAACAUCACCUGUUCCUAACCCAAGUUUCAAUUUAAGUAUUUCCAUCCUUAGGAUUGUGUCUGUUCCUUAGGAUGAAAGAGCAUCACAGGGAACUUUGCAGUAAGAUCCCACUAUUGCUCCAAAUGAAAAUAUUCUUGCAGGUAGAAGCCAUCCUCUCCCGGGUUAGACUGAGGACAACCUCUAUCCACAAGAUCUAAGCAAGGCUAAGCAUUUUUGUAAAUCAUAAUUUUGAUACUUCACAGAAGUAUCUAUAAAGGUAUGGAUAUCAAGGAAAACAAUGCAUCAAAGGGUUCCAAGCAACUCCUAUGAACCUAAUGCACAUUUCACUAGACUUAAAGUGUGCAAAAAGUAUUUAAAACACAAGGAAAGGGGUUGCAUGCACCGGGGCUUGCCUGAGUAACACUAGGUUAGUGUUGUUAGGUGACGUCCAAUGACGAGGAUUCUUCGACCGAGCACUUGCUUGAUUUAACCAUCUUCAGGUUGGUCCAUCAGCUUCAUCAGGCGGAGUAGCCCGCGCUUGGGGUCGACUUGGGUCUUCUUCUGCAUCACACGAUUAUUUAUCGUACCUGAAUGGAAUGCAUUAUGCACAUGAAUGCAUAUCAACGGAAAUAUUACAAACCUAAAUAGUGUUACGCGAUAGCGGAUUUAAACACCUAGCGGCGAGGCGUUGUACAAUUUUAUACAGAAACACUAGUUAUCGAUAUAUUGUUACCUACGACAAUCAUGCUCUUCUAACCUAGCUAAACAGUCGAGGUAGCAAUCAACAUCCAUUCCAAGCAUGAAAUCGAUCAACACAUAAAAUAUCAUACCUAGUCUAGAGAACACAUUAAACGACUUAUAGUUUUAACUUCAAAAUUCUUGGGCACCUAACACUUAUAAAAUUUGAUAGAAGAACUUUCAUUAACUUUCUAAACUAAUUUACCGAUUAACUUGUGUAUCAAAUAUAUAUUAAUAACUUUCCAUUUUUAACACAUACAAUCCCGCAAACCCUAAGACUUAUUGAGAUCUUUUUCAUUACUAACUCCAUCGUACUUCACAUAUAUAUAAUCCUACCGCGAUGCGACUGCUUCCAAAUUAUAAAAAUAAACACAUCACAUUCAUUGAACUACUUCAAUAAUUAAGCUAACGGAAAUUUUGAAUCGGCUUACCAUUCUAAAUUUGACGCGCUAACAACGAACACGACAAGGAUUCUGGUACAGCUCUUGUGUCGAGCAUUUGGGGAAUACCACGCUGCUAGCUUCGUCUUCAUCCGAUUCUUGGGAUUCCUUGAUGACGCACGAAAUGAUGACGACCUUCGAUCGAAGUCUUCGACUGAGCACUUGAUAAGCGAUGCACAGGGACCUCGCUUAUUUUUCUCUAAAGUCCGGGCUUCGGGGUUCGAUGAGAUCAAGCAGGGAAGAACGAGGUUCGACGGGCUCAACGACGAUACGAAGCUAUCACUAGUGACGAUACUACGAUGGCGACAUGGGCGAGCGCGACAAGGAAACGGCAAGGCUGAGCUGCGCGCGGCAAGGAGACUCGACUAGGGAGGGAAAUCCGAGCUGGAGGAACAAGGAGCAGGGGACUGGAAUCGAGCGCAAGCGAGCAAGCGACGACGCGAUUUCUGGAAAUCGACGACGAGGCAAGCCAGCGCGAGGGAGACCGAAUCCGAGCGCGGCGCGCAGGCACGAGCGAGCAGAACAGGCAGCUGGGGCUCGGCCGGCGAGUCAAGAGCUGCACGACUGGAUGUUGCUGCCAGCAAGAAGGGAAAGAGUUUCCCCGGCGAGCAGCGAGGGACGCCGAGCAGAGGGCGCUCCGGCCAAGAAGAAACAGGGCGCUGUCGAGGAGAGGCUCCGCGAGCUAGAGGAGCAAGGGAGGUAGGAAGAUGAGCAGCGCGGUCGGCCGAGAGGAACAGGCGCGCGCCACCAUGGGAGCUUGACGACGACCGGGCUGGGCGAGCCCCGGCGAACUGCAGAUGGCCGGCUGGGAGAAGGCGCGCAGGAACUGUGCGCGCAGGUAAGGAGAAUACAGAGGGAGCAGGGGUGGAAGCCGGCCACCAUGGCUGGGAGCCUGGGACACGUACAAACGGCUCACAAGCAAGUAGAAGACCGGAGAAGGGCCUGUACGUGAUAUUAUCCCAGGAGAAGAAGCCGAGUGCGAGCCAGCAGAUGGAAGAACGAGCGCUUGUAAGAUAAAUCCGAUCACCGGAUGAGACUGAGAAGAGAGAGAUAAGAACACGGAACAAAAAUCUCACGCAGCAGAUAAAAAAAAAUCCCAGGAGGAUAAGCAGAGG
This 11775-nucleotide long non-coding RNA is filed under the name Zea mays. RNAcentral describes it as "long non-coding RNA (ZMAY_LNC005422)". Lineage: Eukaryota; Viridiplantae; Streptophyta; Magnoliopsida; Poales; Poaceae. The record is from RNAcentral.